Sardina pilchardus (European sardine) is the source of this 521-nucleotide long non-coding RNA. RefSeq lists it as uncharacterized. The record is from RefSeq and is a predicted model, not a curated record. The transcript is spliced from 3 exons. Lineage: Eukaryota; Metazoa; Chordata; Actinopteri; Clupeiformes; Clupeidae.
CAUGUGUCUAUGUUAUUGGACAUGUUCCUGCUGGGUUUUAAUCAAUGUGCCAAUGAUCUAGCCCUGGUUUCCUUACUCAACAUGGGAAUACUUACUCUUUACUUAAUACCAGGUUGACUAUUUUGGUUGCAGUUGCAGAUCCUUCAUCAUUCAGCCGCUCCCAUUUCAAAAUGAAGUUGUGCCAAUCUGCAGCAUUGUCCUUCAGUUUUCUUGCACUUCCAGUCAAGUUCCCUUUCCUUCCUGGGGUUAAGCUAUCUAGUAUUAGGCCAAGAAAGACAAAAAUGAUACUGAACAAAAGUAGGUAAAAACUCGCUGCUGUCAGUGUCAACUGCCAACACAGACUACGAAGAGAAGACACGGAAGAUAAUGGAUUCUAAUGAGCCAACUGCACCAGAGGAGAGAAGCAUCACAACUAAUGAUGCUUCUCCAUCUGCAGUUCAGCCAUCCUCCCCAGAGCCCACAGCAGUAGAGGCUCACUUGGGAGUCCAGCACUUACUUUCCAACUCCAGGAUCCAGAUGGA